This 72-nucleotide transfer RNA is filed under the name Cavia porcellus (domestic guinea pig). It matches the Rfam family "tRNA". From Rfam's summary of the family: Transfer RNA (tRNA) molecules are approximately 80 nucleotides in length. Their secondary structure includes four short double-helical elements and three loops (D, anti-codon, and T loops). The record is from Rfam by way of RNAcentral. Lineage: Eukaryota; Metazoa; Chordata; Mammalia; Rodentia; Caviidae.
UGGGAUAUAGCUCAGCAGCAUGGUGCCUGCCUAGCAAGCAGGAGGUCCUGAGUUCAAUUCCCAGUUCCAUAA